UACGUAGGUGGCAAGCGUUAUCCGGAAUUAUUGGGCGUAAAGCGCGCGCAGGCGGUUUCUUAAGUCUGAUGUGAAAGCCCACGGAUCAACCGUGGGGGGUCAUUGGAAACUGGGGAACUUGAGUGCAGAAGAGAAGAGCGGAAUUCCACGUGUAGCGGUGAAAUGCGUAGAGAUGUGGAGGAACACCAGUGGCGAAGGCGGCUUUUUGGUCUGUAACUGACGCUGAGGCGCGAAAGCGUGGGGAGCAAACAGG
This 253-nucleotide ribosomal RNA is filed under the name uncultured bacterium. Its description in RNAcentral is "partial 16S ribosomal RNA". It matches the Rfam family "Bacterial small subunit ribosomal RNA", at positions 524 to 776 of the family's 1533-position model. The record is from RNAcentral.